This 21-nucleotide non-coding RNA is filed under the name Caenorhabditis elegans. The record is from RNAcentral. Lineage: Eukaryota; Metazoa; Nematoda; Chromadorea; Rhabditida; Rhabditidae.
UUGUGUUUAUUUAAAACAAUU